CGAGCGGGCCGGACAGCCGCGGGCACGAGCCGAAAGGCUGUGCGUGAGGAAAGUCCGGGCUCCACAGGGCAAGGAUAACGGGUAACACCCGCCAGGGGCGACCCUCGGACAAGUGCAACAGAAACAAACCGCCCGAGCGAUCGGGUAAGGGUGGAAAAGUGAGGUAAGAGCUCACUCGCCGGCUGGAGACAGUGCGGCGCUGUAAACUCUAUCCGGAGCAACACCGCGGAGGGACAUAUGGCCGGCCCGGCCGUCCCAUGGAGGUGGCUGGAACGCACCGGCAACGGUGCGUCUAGAUAGAUGGCUGUCGAUAACAGAACCCGGCUUACAGGCCCGCUCGCUAC
Non-coding RNA from Firmicutes bacterium CAG:103, 344 nucleotides. It matches the Rfam family "Bacterial RNase P class A". From Rfam's summary of the family: Ribonuclease P (RNase P) is a ubiquitous endoribonuclease, found in archaea, bacteria and eukarya as well as chloroplasts and mitochondria. Its best characterised activity is the generation of mature 5'-ends of tRNAs by cleaving the 5'-leader elements of precursor-tRNAs. The record is from Rfam. Lineage: Bacteria; Bacillati; Bacillota.